This 358-nucleotide long non-coding RNA is filed under the name Priapulus caudatus. Its description in RNAcentral is "uncharacterized LOC106819624, transcript variant X1". The record is from RNAcentral. Lineage: Eukaryota; Metazoa; Priapulida; Priapulimorpha; Priapulimorphida; Priapulidae.
AGGUGCAGCUGACCCACGAGGUAGACCGUCUCCGCUCCGAGUGCGAUAGCCUCCGCAAGCAGUUGCAGCAGUCGCACUAUGAGAGUUUGGGAGCGCUCGGCAGUCCAGCGAGGUUCCCGUUGACGUCUAACUCCAUGCUGUCGAACACGCUGCCGUCGGCUCUCUCUGUCGGAAGCCUCUCUUCUUACAGCCGCUGCGACCGGAUGGACGGCUACGAGUCGGACUCGGCGACUGUCGUCCGGCGGCCCCGUAGAGGGCGUUACCCGCUACGAGACGAACCGAGCAAGCAGGUGCAGACACUAAACGAGCAGGAGUGGGAGAAGAUCCAACAAGCGCACGUGCUCGCCAACGUGCAGCA